UUCCACGUUUUUAAAAGAGUCCCAAAUAACUCACUUGAAGUGUCUCAAAGGUGAGCAAGUUUUAUGAAAAUGAAUCCUUCCUCAGUUAAUUGAUCAAAUGGGUGAAUCUUGACCCUCUCUAGUUUCUAUCCCAGGUCAGAGUGGGGAGCUGAUGUUAGCUGUGGGAUUCACUGCAGCGUCCUACCACAAAGGCAAAGAAGGUGAAAAUGCAGCGUGCAGUGCUGGGCUUGAUUCCCAAGUCGCAGGCUGGCUCCCGCUAUGGGUAGGAGGCUUUACACUCAGCCUGGGUCAGCACCGGAGCAUCCAGGCACUUCAGCUCGUCUGGGUAGUCAGCUGUGAGGAUCAGGAAGAGAUCAAAGAAAGUAGAAAUGUGGGUGAGGCCAGAGAAGGAGACAAUAAUCUAGGAUGGAACAUUGAAGAGGAACACUGCCUCUGGAGAGGACUCCAAAACGUGGUUGAGUUUCUGCAGGAUAUGCAAAAAUCAGUCUUCCCCCUGGUGGAACUGUGUGGCUCUUCACUCAGGAUGAGUCUUCAUGCACAAGCCUCGCAGCAUGCACCGGCCACUUACCACCGUUCUCCCAUCACUUUUCCAUCUGUCAUUACUGAACACCAGUCUGUGCUACUGUCUGGGUGUAGAGCAAAAAGUGGGGUGCAGAACUGACUUCAAAGAACUAAAGGAGGCCAUGACAGAGGCACCUGAAGAAGACCUCUACAUAGGCCUCAGAUAAAGAGACCUAAGAAUGGAGGAUCCUGAGCUGGCAAUAUAAAUAUGCACAAGGGCGUGACCAGCCAGGGGGUCCUUGACUGCAACUCCCUUCAAAGACUGCAAUGCAUUGGCUGUGAACCAAGUCUGGGGUGGGCAGAACAGCCUCUCCACACCCUGUAAACCUGCCAGAAUCCGCCUGUUAAAUUCCUGGUUGGCCUGCUGCUUGCCCCAAGUGGGACUGCAACCUCAAGGUAGCGAAGCUGUGGAUUUGUCCUGCUCAUUUCCAAGUGUUCAUUCCCAUGUUAAGCCAGCAAAGCCAAGGAUUUUCAACCCCCCCAGCCACUGCUCUGAAUUGAAUCUGUUUGUAUGGCAGCAAAGCUACUAGUUUUCAUGGUCAGCCCCAUCUUACUUAAAAGUCAUUGGCUGAGCUGGGGGGUGACGGGAGCAGCCACAGGCAGAAAAAGCCACAAUCUCCUACUUGCCUAAAGAUCUAGUAGUUUUUCAAGAAUAAAUGCUGCUCAAUU
This is a long non-coding RNA of Gorilla gorilla gorilla (western lowland gorilla), 1230 nucleotides long. RefSeq lists it as uncharacterized. Lineage: Eukaryota; Metazoa; Chordata; Mammalia; Primates; Hominidae. The record is from RefSeq and is a predicted model, not a curated record. The transcript has 5 exons.